This 28642-nucleotide long non-coding RNA is filed under the name Triticum aestivum (bread wheat). RNAcentral's name for it is "long non-coding RNA (TAES_LNC026979)". Lineage: Eukaryota; Viridiplantae; Streptophyta; Magnoliopsida; Poales; Poaceae. The record is from RNAcentral.
UAGAAAGAAGUAUACAGAUCACCCUCAAAUCCACUCUUUGGGAUACAUACCCCCCUGAACUCAAAACCGGGAUAAAUAACACCCUCAAAUCAUCAAAACCGGCUUAAUAACCCCCUUGAGUGGUUUCUGUCUAAUUUUGAGUGGUUUUUGUCCCCAUGAUGCUGAUUAGGCGGUGACUGGGCAGAAAAUGCUGAGUGGGUCCCGUUAGUCAGUUGCCUCUCUCAUUNNNNNNNNNNNNNNNNNNNNNNNNNNNNNNNNNNNNNNNNNNNNNNNNNNNNNNNNNNNNNNNNNNNNNNNNNNNNNNNNNNNNNNNNNNNNNNNNNNNNNNNNNNNNNNNNNNNNNNNNNNNNNNNNNNNNNNNNNNNNNNNNNNNNNNNNNNNNNNNNNNNNNNNNNNNNNNNNNNNNNNNNNNNNNNNNNNNNNNNNNNNNNNNNNNNNNNNNNNNNNNNNNNNNNNNNNNNNNNNNNNNNNNNNNNNNNNNNNNNNNNNNNNNNNNNNNNNNNNNNNNNNNNNNNNNNNNNNNNNNNNNNNNNNNNNNNNNNNNNNNNNNNNNNNNNNNNNNNNNNNNNNNNNNNNNNNNNNNNNNNNAAUCGCAGGCGCCCUCCGCUGCCAUCUUGUUGUUUGCAGCUCGUCCACCACCGGCGGAACCAAACCAUGUGUCCAGGUGCGUGACUCCAUCUCUGCUGCUCCUCUGUUUCGUUUCUAGUCUUGUUCGCCGGGUAAAUCGCGGCGCCAGUGUACGACCGCGUGCGUCGUAGAGGUAUGGGUUCGGGUGAGGGGAAUGGGGCGUCUCUGUACUAGGGAUUUAGGGGACCAAGUUCACAACCAAGCUCACUGCAUGUGUCACAGCAAAGAUCAUUGGUUGUGUCACAACCAAGCUCACAGAUAUAUGACAAGCAUGCUCCAGCCAGCAAGCCUAGAUCAGCAAAGAUUCAGAGAAGUGUUGCUACUCCAUUUGUUCCACCUAAACAAGUUACAAGCUUGCCAUACCAUUGUGUCUUCAAUCUAGCUGCAUACAAGGAAGCUAAGAAAGGCAGAGCAGGGCCUCCAGUUUGAUGUUGAAGGAGUCUUUUUUGUAUCAGGAGUCAUGUCAUGUACUAUAUAUGCAGUCAUGUAUUAUCUGUACUGUCGGCCAACUAUAUUGGUUCUGGAUUGAACAUAAACCAUACUAUUUUUUUCUGGAUUGAACACCAAAUAUAUAUCUGUAAUCCUAUUUGGUUCUAUAUUAUUAACAUAGUACUUGUGCAUUGCUUACAUGACAGCACACAUACAUGGCAACACACAUAGGAAUAUCCGACGGCACAUACAUGAUGGCACACAUAAAACAUAGCACAAGUACCAAAAUUUGAUUUUUCAUAACAUCACUCAAUACAAAUUCUGAAUGUUUUCAUAACAGAACAUACAUUCAGGACAUCAACUUCUCCAACAUACAUUUUGCAUCUUGCUUAACAGCAUACAUAAAUGAGUCCUUCACAAACAAUUUUUUUCAUGAUGUAAAUCAUUUCCAAAAGAAGGAAAUGGCAAAGCAGAACAGAGCAACCACAAGGAACAACUGCACUUUCUGAAUCUUGUUCUUCAGGACAACAACUUCUCCAUGAUGCUUGGCUUCCAAAUCACGCAGAUACGCGUCCAACAUCUUAUUCUUCGACAAGCUGCCGUUCCUUCAGUCGAGACACAACAUGCUCACAAAUGAAGUGUGUGGAUCAUCAUGCCAAAGUAAAUAUCUGCAGUCGACUCCCUGGGUUCACAAGAGCGAGUGAACAAUUACCAACAAAAUCAGAAGCAAAAAGAAUCAGAAGCAACAGAUUAACAGAGAGGAAAUUUGAGUUGAACCAAGUGCACACGCAGAGAAGCACUAGUGCUUUGCUGCAGUUGUAGUACCUUGUCCCUGGGUUCUUCGGGCUCCAUGAGAUCCAUCUUGGUUCAGCUGCUUCAGUUCACUUGAGUUGUCAGGCAACUGAACAUUUCUUUCUUGAAUGCCACAACAAGAACCUGUUUGAUGCCAAGUAUUUGGUCGAAUUGCCAUCAGUACUACUAGAACAGACUGUAGUCUUGAAUAUGAAUAAACAAACACGCAGCAGAUACCUGCAAGAUUCUCGUGAUGGAGCUUCCAUCGGGCAACUGAUUCCUGUAGAAAGAGAAGCCAGCCAGCCAUAUGAGCAUCCCCAGCAGCACCUACAGUGCACACAGGGUGAAGCCGAUGUCCAACCACACGAGGAGCACUAGGCCAACGAAGCCGCCCGAGGACACAACGAAGAUGUACCAGUUGAAGAAGCUCGUCUCCUGCCGCUGCUCCUAGCGCCCAGCGCCAGCAGGCACGCGCGCACCGCGCCGUCGCCGAUGGGGAUCAGGUAGAGGCCCAGGAGGAGCAGGCUCAGGUUGGAACCACAGACCGUCUCGCAGGUCUGCUGGCCAGUGGGACUGCAGGGCGGCGGGUGCGGCAAAAUUUGUGGACUAGGAGAGAUAAAGCGAGGCGAGGUUCAUCGGCGAUUGGGGAAUUUUCGCGAGAGAGAAAGGAGAAAGAGAGAGAAGUAAGGGAUAUUUGACUAAUGGGACCCACGGUAGCCUACUUAGAGUUUUUUGCCCAGUCAGCGUCUAAUCAGGGACAAAAACCACUCAAAAUUAGACAGAAACCACUCAAGGGGGUUAUUAAGCCGGUUUUGAUGAUUUGAGGGUGUUAUUUGUCCCGGUUUUGAGUUCAGGGGGUAUGUAUCCCAAAGAGUGGAUUUGAGGGUGAUUUGUAUACUUCUUUCUAUCAGAAUUAGGAAAAAAUACAUUUUUCAAAUUGCACUAGAGGCCCAAAUAAAUGUUCACUUUGUCCGCUAUAUUUUUAGAGGAUGGGGAAAAUUUAUUUCAGGAUUUUUGGAGUCCGUUUAGUAUUUCUUUUCUUCGUUUUUCUGCGCAGCGGGAUAUUUAAAAAAAACGAUCCGACCUUACCAGGCAGUGUCUGCCUGGGACACCCACCCGGCCGGCCUUUAUAAGCCGAAGGCCCGACCCGGCCGAAACCCUAGCCAGCCGCUGAACCCGCCGCCUUGAUUCCCGCGCCGCCGCCGCCAGUCACCGUCGCCUCCUUGCCGCGCUGUCGACCAGCAGCGCCGCCNNNNNNNNNNNNNNNNNNNNNNNNNNNNNNNNNNNNNNNNNNNNNNNNNNNNNNNNNNNNNNNNNNNNNNNNNNNNNNNNNNNNNNNNNNNNNNNNNNNNNNNNNNNNNNNNNNNNNNNNNNNNNNNNNNNNNNNNNNNNNNNNNNNNNNNNNNNNNNNNNNNNNNNNNNNNNNNNNNNNNNNNNNNNNNNNNNNNNNNNNNNNNNNNNNNNNNNNNNNNNNNNNNNNNNNNNNNNNNNNNNNNNNNNNNNNNNNNNNNNNNNNNNNNNNNNNNNNNNNNNNNNNNNNNNNNNNNNNNNNNNNNNNNNNNNNNNNNNNNNNNNNNNNNNNNNNNNNNNNNNNNNNNNNNNNNNNNNNNNNNNNNNNNNNNNNNNNNNNNNNNNNNNNNNNNNNNNNNNNNNNNNNNNNNNNNNNNNNNNNNNNNNNNNNNNNNNNNNNNNNNNNNNNNNNNNNNNNNNNNNNNNNNNNNNNNNNNNNNNNNNNNNNNNNNNNNNNNNNNNNNNNNNNNNGCCGGAUCCCCUCGCCGCCGCCGCUGCCCAGCCCACCGGAGCCGCCGCCGACUCUCGCCGGACCUCGCCUAAGUAGCCCGCCACCGCCGCCGGUUUUCAUUAGAAAACCGUUUGAUUUUUUUUGAAAGCCCUAAAUUUAUCUUUAUAGAUCGGUUUUAUUUUUUUCUGGUUUAGUUAUUUAGCGAACGCUCGUUCGUACGUUCGUUUUAACGAACGGUGUUCACCUGUUAGACGCAGACAGCGAACGUUCAUCCGUUAGUCUGUUCGUCAGUUUUUCUUUUUCCAAGGUUUUUCCGCGAUUAUUUUCGAUCGUGAUUUCUGCCCUGAUUUUCGUUUUAGUUUAUAUUUUUGCUCGUUUAUCGGAAUCGGACGAUUCAAGCGCCUAGAUCUUCGUCUCGAAGCCCUAUUUCUGUUUAACCAACUUGAACAAGAUUUUGGUACUGUAAAAUUUGACUCUAGUCCAUAUUAGUAAAUGAAUCUUGUUUCUUUCGCAGUUUGAGUUUCGUUGCCACGUUUCAUUUGAUUCUUUUUGCAAACCGGAGUUCUUAAGUUGUAAUUUCUGGUUAGAUCUCUUAUUUGAUUUUUACCCGUGAUUCUAGUUGAGUGCUCAUUGUAUGCUUUGUCUUUUUGUGAUAGAGUACCCGGAGUGCGAAACGUGCUACUACGAGUCUCUAGGUUUCACGGAUCAUCAGCAAGGCAAGUAACACUUUGAUCAUACCUGUUUACUACCCAGUUUUAUUGCAUUAGAACAAUCCUCAAACAAGUGCAUGGUUAGGAUCUGUUUAACAUGUGGGUUCUGGGAAGUAGAUGAUGAGGUAGAACCUAUUGCCUGGUUUACUAUCAAACCUUUGGGAGUUACUUCUACGUUGCUUAUAUUGCUAUGCUAUUCUCGUGGACGUGGUUUGGUUCAAGUGAUUCAUGACAGAUGUGAGAGUUAUUAUUAAUGGUGAACUUAAGGUGGCUACUUAAAUACACAUCUGGGUGGAUUGCUUGAGGCACCCUGGAGUACCCAGUGGUUGUCAGGGCACCUGGAGAAUCCAGUGUUGUCCUAGGAUAUCAAGGAGUACCCGUGUGAUUAUCCUACGGUCCGCCACCCAGGCUCAAAGGGAUCAUAAGAUUAUUCAUGCUAGAAACUUCCGUGUGCAGCCACAAGCUAUUAUGGGCUCUAGCAUAGUUGAGUAAGUUGCAAGACCUCUUUCAGUGGUGGGCUAGCAGAUGUAGGGGAAACUAGGUGUAACUGUCCACCCAGAGUAAAGAGUUAUUGUUUCAGAAAGACUAUGUCUCAUUUCUCCGACCAUGGAUGUAUUCGAGUCUUGUGGGGAAAAGUGCGCAAACAUCUGUAGAGUGUACAAACUAAUCAUGGUUAGUCGUGUCCCCUGUUAUGGAUGUUUUGAGUAUCUAGUUCUUGGAUUAUCAUGUUGAUCUCAUCACUCUAAAUAUAAUUUGAUUGGGUUUAAUGAUGAUGUUUAAUUGGGAUUGAGUUGGAGGAACCUUCUCAAUGUUUAACAACCACCAUGAUAGUUAAAUAAAAUUUAUUCCUUUGUUGUAGGAAAAAAUUGGCUUUAUGCAAAACUAUAACCAUAGAGCUUUCCACCAGCCAAAUAUGCAUGUAGUGAUAGCAUUUAUUCUGUUCAUUACCCUAUGUGUUACAUUUCCAGCAUAUUCCAUGUGCUGGCCCGUUUCGGGCUGCAACGUUUCAUAUUGCAGACUUUUCAGACGACGAGUAAGGUGCCAUAGGUCGUUGUCUUUCACUCAGUGAUGCCGUUGGAGUUGAUGGACUCACUUUAUCUUCCAAGCCUUCCGUUGUUAUCGUUUUUAGAUGGCCUUAAGCCAUAUUAUUGUAAUAAGUUCUCUUUUGAGAUAUUCGAUGUAAUAAGUGUGUGAUUGAACCUCUGUUAUAAAUCCUCGAGUACUAUGCGUGUUAGCAUUACCGAUCCAGGGAUGACACUGAUGCAUAGAGAUCAGACUGUUUGAGGUCUGGUCGCUACAAGAUGGUAUCAGAGCACACGCUGACUGUAGGACACGACCACUAAGCUAAAGCUCUAGAUCACUACUAUCUUCUCAUUUCUGACUCCUCUCCCUUUUCUACUCUAUAGGAUGGCGGAUGCAAGGAACAAGUUCACACAACUGGAUGAAGAUACAUCUUUUGGACGACACUUGAAGGAAGUUACUAGAUACCUGAACAUCGGAAUACCAAGCUUCACCGGGAGCUACAUUGCCACUUUACUAGAAGAGGAGCGCUGGAUGAUUCGAGUUCAAGUUCCAGGAAGGACGUUUAUGCCAGUCACUAAGCCCAUAGAGUUUUCCUUUGAUGCACCAACCUGGAGUCUAGGAAAGAGCAUGGCAGCCCACAUCACUAUGGGACGCAUUGGAGAAGUUUGCCACAAGGAUCUCAAGGAUAUUAUCUACCAGAUUUGUGGGCGCCGAGAUGAGCAAUGGGAGAUGAUCAGCACCAGGAGGGACAGGUCUAUUGCAGCCUUCAUCCAGGAGUUAAACCAGCACAUUCGUCGCCAGGAGAACCAGAUGUGCCCAAGCAUGAUAGAUCUAAAGAAGGAAAUGACCAGGAUCACGGAGCUAGAGGAAGAACUCAAGUCUACAUGUGAUGGAUAUGAGGAGGAAAUGAUGAUACUCGUGGAUAAGAAUGAUGAUUUGACAAGGAAGCUAGGAGUAUUCAUGGGAGACCCCGCGCCAGGAGGAGAAGACGAUGAUUCCACUUGUCCGGAGAACUACAUCAUCAUUGAUGACACCGACUCGGACCCCGAUGAUAGCGAUGAUGACUAUGUUGAUGAAGCUGGAGCAGAUAUCAUGGAGUCUUCCAUCGAUCAAGUUUUCUAGUCGACCACCAUACCAGUAGUAGUAUACCCCCAUGUAUAUAGUAUAGUCCGAGCACUUUUGUAACGAUAGUUAGACCGAUUGUAUGCCCUUGCUUGAAUUGAUUGAAGUGAUAUGUUUGUGUUUGUCUCAUGUGCAUAUGGGUAGUGUUUUCCCUCUAAACCUCAUUCUAUUCUGUUUUCUCAUCUUUUCUAAACCCAUCAGAUGCCUCCGAGACGCGACAAUGGAUUUGUUUUCCCGCCGGAGCUCACCGAGUUGAUCCAGCAGUAGAAUGCCUUGAUGCGGAUACUAGUCCAGAAUCAGAAUCAGGGGAACAGCAACAACAACCACCCACCACCACCACCACCUGUUGAUCACUUAGCUCGUUUCUUAAGGCUGAAUCCGCUGGUGUUCUCCAGUAGCACCGAUCCGAUAGUUGCAGACGAUUGGCUCCACAAGAUUGGAAGGGAGUUGACCACUGCAGGAUGCAUAGAUGCGGAGAGAGUGUGAUUUGCCACACAUCAGCUUGAUGGACCCGCAUCAUCAUGGUGGGAGAAUUUCACUGCCACUUACCCCAUCGACACUAUCACAUGGGACCAGUUUUAGCAGGCUUUCCGCGCUGCCCAUGUUUCAGCAGGAGCUAUGGCCAUGAAGAAGCACGAGUUCCGCAACUUGCGCCAAGGAGGAUGCACAGUGGGCCAGUAUGUGGAUGAUUUUAGUAAGUUAGCACGUUAUGGCCCAGAUGACGUUGCUACGGAUGCAGCUAAGCAGGAGAAGUUUCUGAAAGGACUGAAUGAUGAGCUGAGCAUGCAGUUAAUGAUGGCAACCUUCAACAACUACCAGGAGUUGGUAGAUAGAGCUCUUAUGAAUGAAGGGAAGCACCAGCAGAUUGACAAUCGCAAGAGGAAGUAUGGACAAGGGAAGUAUAAUUCAGGAGCUCAGUAGAGACCCCGUUUUACCCCAAACUCGGGAGGACACAUUCACCAUAACCAUGGAGGUCACAAUUCCAAUGGAGGGAGUUCUCACAACCAUAGUGGCCCCAAGAAUGGGAAUGUGAAUGGAGGAAGCAACGUUCAGAACCGUUCCAACCUAGCAACGCCCGCCAAGAAGGAUCUAAGUCACAUUACUUGUUUCAAGUGCGGGAAGAAUGGACGUUACGCCAUGGAGUGUUCUGAAGCUAAGAAUGGAAAUGGCAAUGGAAGCUCUGGGAAGAAGCCCAACCCUUUCAACAGGGGACAAGUGAACCAUGUUAACGUGGAGGAGGUUGAAGCGCAACCAGAUGCAGUAAUAGGUAAGUUUUUGGUUAAGUCAUUUACUGCAAUCGUUCUUUUUGAUACUGGUGCAUCGCAUUCAUACAUAUCAAGGGGAUUUGUGGAUAAGUAUAAGUUGCCCACCAAAGUUCUUAGAACACCUAUGUUAGUAAGCUCGCCGGGAGCAGAGCAUAUGGUAAGCCAAGGAUGUUUUCAAAUGCCAUUGACCAUAGGUAGGCAUGUUUUCCCCUCAGAUCUGAUAAUUCUAGAGUCACAAGGUUUGGAUGUGAUUUUGGGUAUGGAUUGGCUAUCGGUGUAUGGAGGGAACAUUGAUUGCGCCAGUAAGUCGAUUAUGCUCACCACCCCAGAAGAAGGAGGAUUAAGUAUGUAUCCCGGCAUGUGCCAAAGAGGACUCAAGUGAAUUCCUUAUAAGGAGUUGUACAGGAGGAAGUACCAGUGGUGAAGUAUUUCCCUGAUGUAUUUCCAGAGGAAUUGCCAGGCAUGCCACCGGAUAGAGACAUCGAGUUUUUGAUUGAGCUUUUGCCAGGCACAGGGCCAAUAUCUAAGAGACCGUAUAGGAUGCCCGCAAAGGAUUUGGAGGAAAUUAAGAAGUAGAUUAAGGAGUUACUGGAUAAAGGGUAUAUCCGCCCAAGUUCGUCACCUUGGGGAUUACCAGUGCUUCUAGUGGAGAAGAAGGAUGGAUCGUUGAGGAUGGUUGUUGAUUAUCGUGGAUUGAAUGAAGUGACAAUCAAGAACAAGUACCCACUACCGAUGAUCAAUGAUUUGUUUGACCAGUUGCAAGGAGCUAAAGUAUUUUCCAAGAUCGAUCUGCGAUCACGAUAUCACCAGCUAAAGAUUCAAGAGCAGGAUAUACCUAAGACAGCUUUUACCACAAGGUACGGGUUAUAUGAGUAUACCGUUAUGUCAUUCGGCCUGACUAACACACCUGCAUAUUUCAUGAACAUGAUGAACCAGGUGUUUAUGGAGUUUUUGGAUAAAUUUGUCGUGGUGUUCAUUGAUGAUAUAUUGGUCUACUCGAAUAAUGAAGAGGAGCAUAAGGAGCAUUUGCGUUUGGUACUUGGGAAGCUCAGAGAACAUCAGUUAUAUGCCAAGUUCAGCAAAUGUGAGUUUUGGUUGAAGGAAGUUGGAUUCCUCGGACAUGUUAUAUCCGGAGAAGGAAUAGCAGUAGACCCCACCAAGGUUGUCACUGUGACAAACUGGGAAGCACCCACGUCAGUUGGAGAGAUCCGAAGUUUUCUUGGACUCGCAGGAUACUACAGGAGGUUCAUUAAGAAUUUCUCGAAGAUUGCAAAGCCCAUGACGGAGUUGUUGAAGAAGGACACCAGGUUCAAAUGGACUAAGGGAUGUGAGGCCAGUUUUCAGGAGUUGAAGAAAUGUUUGGUUACAGCUCCAGUGUUGAUUCUUCCAGAUCAAUGCAAGGAUUAUCAGGUGUAUUGCGACGCUUCUCGUCGAGGACUUGCAGCAGUGCUUAUGUAGGAGGGAAGAGUUGUUUCAUAUGCCUCACGACAGCUUAAACCCCAUGAGUUGAAUUAUGCUACACAUGAUUUGGAGUUAGCAGCCGUAGUGCGUGCGUUGAAGACGUGGAGACAUUUUCUCAUCGGAAACCAUUGUGAGGUGUACACGGAUCACAAGAGUUUGAAGUAUAUCUUCACGCAAAAGGAGUUGAAUCUCAGGCAGAGGAGAUGGUUGGAGCUCAUCAAUGAUUAUGAUAUGAGGUUGCAUUAUCAUCCCGGAAAGGCUAACGUAGUAGCCGAUGCGUUGAGCCGCAAGAGUCAUGUCAAUACACUCAUGACUGGAGAAUUACCCAAGGAGUUAGUAGAAGAUCUUCGCGAGCUAAGUUUGGAGAUAGUUCCGAGAGGCUAUGUAGCAGCAUUGGAAAUUCAGUCUACCUUAAUGGAUAAGAUCAGAGAAGCUCAGAAGAUGGACAAGGAGAUUGCCGAGAUAAAGGAAAGGAUGAGCAAAGGAAAGGCCAAAGGAUUUCAUGAGGAUGAACACGAUACCUUAUGGUUUGAGGACCGCGUAUAUGUGCCUAAUGACCCUGAGAUCAGGAAGUUGAUUCUGCAGGAGGCCCAUGAUUCACCAUAUUCGAUUCACCCAGGAAACACCAAGAUGUAUCUAGAUUUGAAGGAUAGUUUCUCGUGGACCGGAAUGAAGAAGGAUAUUGCUGAGUAUGUAGCAGUUUGUGAUGUAUGUCAAAGAGUGAAGGCAGAGCAUCAGAAGCCAGCAGGAUUGCUACAGCCAUUGCCGAUACCCGAAUGGAAGUGGGAUAAGCUAGGCAUGGAUUUUAUCACGGGAUUUCCCAGGACUCAUUCAGGCUAUGACUCGAUAUGGGUUGUAGUCGAUCGUUUGACGAAGGUAGCUCAUUUCGUCCCAGUGAAGACCACUUACACCAGUGCUAAGUUGGCAAAGAUAUACAUGACCAGGAUCGUAUGUCUGCAUGGAGUUCCUAGGAACAUUGUAUCAGAUAGAGGAACCCAGUUUACCUCAAAGUUCUGGAAUCAAUUGCAUGAGACUUUGGGUACCGGGCUAGAGUUCAGUACAUCUUUUCAUCCACAAACAGAUGGACAGACCGAGAGAGUCAAUCAGAUUCUGGAGGACAUGUUGAGAGCUUGUGCGCUAGACUGUGGACCUAGUUGGGACGACAAUUUGCCUUAUGCAGAGUUCUCUUCCAAUAACAGAUAUCAAGCCAGUUUGAAGAUGGCCCCUUACGAAGCCUUGUACGAAAGGAGGUGCAAGACACCGUUGUUAUGGGAUGAAGUUGGAGACCGUCAGUUGUUUGGACCAGAUUUGAUAAAGGAGUCUGAAGAGAAGGUUAAGAUGAUUAGACUCAAGGUAGCCCAGUCCAGGCAGAAGAGCUAUGCAGAUUCGAAAUGCAAGGAGACAGUUUACGAAGUCGGAGACAGAGUGUAUCUUCGUGUGUCCCCGCUUCGAGGAGUUAAAGGUUUUGGAGUUAAGGGAAAGUUAGCACCACGUUUUGUGGGACCAUACAAAGUUUUGGAACGUAUGGGAGAAGUUGCUUACAAGUUGGAAUUACCAGAAGGAUUGUCAGGAGUUCAUGAUGUGUUCCAUGUUUCCUAGUUGAAGAAGUGUCAUGCAGAGAUGGCCGAUAUUCCUCUGAGAGAUACAGUGCCACUGGAAGCAAUUCAGUUGGAUAGUGAUUUGACCUACGAGGAGAAACCAGUGAAGAUUCUCGAGUUUGCCAGCCAAGUCACCCGCAGCAAGGUUAUCAAGUUUUGCAAAGUUCAGUGGAGCCACCAUAUCGAGGAUGAAGCCACCUGGGAACGAGAGGAAGACCUAUGGAAGGACCACCCUCACCUAUUUUCUAUCCAACCCGAAUGUCAAGGGCGAGAUUAAUCUUAAGGAGGGUAAGUUUGUAACAUCCCAAAUUUUCAAUUUGGAAUGUUAUACAUUAGAUCAUCAUUGAAUAUCAUAUUUUUAUUGCAUUUUGGGUUGAUCCUAGAAAUUCUACGCAACUCAAGGACCCACAGAGAGAGUUGGGGAUUUUGUUAUUUUCAUAUUUGAGUUUUCUCAAAUUUUGAAAACAGGAUCGUUUGAUUUUUAUUAUUUUCUCUUCGAAUAUUUAUUAUAUGAAAAUAAAAGAGAGGGGAUAAAAUUACUUUCCCAAAAUAAAGAAAUAUUGGAGGUUAAAUAUUAAAAUCAAAUAAGAAUUUUAUGUGGAGUUUUAUUGCUAUUUUAUUUGAAUUAGCAAAAAAAUGUGUUUCUCAAAAUUGCAUUAGAGGCCAAUAUAAAUGUUCGCUUUGUCCGCUAUAUUUUUAGAGGACGGGGAAAAUUUAUUUCAGGAUUUUUGGAGUCCGUUUGGUAUUUCUUUUCUUCGUUUUUCUGCGCAGCAGAAUAUUUAAAAAAAUGAACCGACCUUACAGGGCCGUGUCCGCCUGGGACACCCACCCGGCCGGCCUUUAUAAGCAGAAGGCCCGACCCGGCCGAAAACCUAGCCAGCCGCCGCCCUGCCGCCUCGAUUCCCGCACAGCCGCCGCCGCCGCCAGUCGCCACGCCGCCGCCGCCGCCCGUNNNNNNNNNNNNNNNNNNNNNNNNNNNNNNNNNNNNNNNNNNNNNNNNNNNNNNNNNNNNNNNNNNNNNNNNNNNNNNNNNNNNNNNNNNNNNNNNNNNNNNNNNNNNNNNNNNNNNNNNNNNNNNNNNNNNNNNNNNNNNNNNNNNNNNNNNNNNNNNNNNNNNNNNNNNNNNNNNNNNNNNNNNNNNNNNNNNNNNNNNNNNNNNNNNNNNNNNNNNNNNNNNNNNNNNNNNNNNNNNNNNNNNNNNNNNNNNNNNNNNNNNNNNNNNNNNNNNNNNNNNNNNNNNNNNNNNNNNNNNNNNNNNNNNNNNNNNNNNNNNNNNNNNNNNNNNNNNNNNNNNNNNNNNNNNNNNNNNNNNNNNNNNNNNNNNNNNNNNNNNNNNNNNNNNNNNNNNNNNNNNNNNNNNNNNNNNNNNNNNNNNNNNNNNNNNNNNNNNNNNNNNNCCACCGCCCGCCACCGGAUCCCCUCGCCGCCGCCGCCGCCGACCUCCGUCGGACCUCGCCGAGGUAGCCCACCGCCGCCGCCGAUUUUCCUUAGAAAACCGUAUGUUUUUUUUGAAAACCCUAAGUUUUUUUAUAGAUCGGUUUUUUUCCCAGUUUAGUUAUUUAGCGAGCGCUCGUUCGUACGUUCAUUUUAACGAACGGUGUUCACCCGUUAGCCGCAGACAGCGAACGUUCGUAUGUUAGUCUGUUCGUCAGUUUUUCUUUUUCCAGGGUUUUUCUGUGAUUAUUUUCGAUCGUGAUUUCUGCCCUGAUUUUUGUUUUAGUUUAUAUUUUGGCUCGUUUAUCAGAAUCAGGCGAUUCAAGCGCCUAGAUCUUCGUCUCGAAGCCCUCUUUCUGUUUAACCAACUUGAAAAAGAUUUUGGUACUGUAAAAUUUGACUUUUGUCCAGAUUAGUAAACGAAUCUUGUUUCUUUCGCAAUUUGAGUUUCGUUGCCUCGUUUGAUUUGAUUCUUUUUGCAUCCCGGAGUUCUUAAGUUGAAAUUUCUGGUUAGAUCUCUUAUUUGACUUUUACCCAUGCUUCUAGUUGAGUGCUCAUUGUAUGCUUUGUCUGUUUGCGAUAGAGUACCCGGAGUGCGAAGGUGCUACUACGAGUCUCUAGGUUUCACGGGUCAUCAGCAAGGCAAGUAACACUUUGAUCAUACCUAUUUACUACCCAGUUUUAUUGCAUUAUAACAAUCCUUAAACAAAUGCAUGGUUAGGAUCUGUUUAACAUGUGGGUUCUGGGAAGUAGAUGAUGAGGUAGAACCUAUUGCCUUGUUUAGUAUCAAACCUUUGGGAGUUACUUCUACGUUGCUUAUAUUGCUAUGCUAUGCUCGUAGACGUGGUUUGGUUCAAGUGAUUCAUGACAGAUGUGAGAGUUAUUAUUAAUGGUGAACUUAAGGUGACUACUUAAAUACACAUCUGGGUGGAUUGCUUGAGGCACCCUGGAGUACCCAGUGGUUGUCAGGGCACCUGGAGAAUCUAGUGUUGUCCUAGGAUAUCAAGGAGUACCCGUGUGAUUAUCCUACGGUCCGCCACCCAGGCUCAAAGGGAUCAUAAGAUUAUUCAUGCUAGAAACUUCCGUGUGCAGCCACAAGCUAUUAUGGGCUCUAGCAUAGUUGAGUAAGUUGCAAGACCUCUUUCAGUGGUGGGCUAGCAGAUGUAGGGGAAACUAGGUGUAACUGUCCACCCAGAGUAAAGAGUUAUUGUUUCAGAAAGACUAUGUCUCAUUUCUCCUACCAUGGAUGUAUUCGAGUCUUGUGGGGAAAAGUGCGCAAACAUCUGUAGAGUGUACAAACUAAUCAUGGUUAGCCGUGUCCCCGGUUAUGGACGUUUUGAGUAUCUAGUUCUUGGAUUAUCUUGUUGAUCUCAUCACUCUAAAUAUAAUUUGAUUGGGUUUAAUUAUGAUGUUUAAUUGGGAUUGAGUUGGAGGAACCUUCUCAAUGUUUAACAACCACCAUGAUAGUUAAAUAAAAUUUAUUCCUUUGUUGUAGGAAAAAAAUUGGCUUUAUGCAAAACUGUAACCAUAGAGCUUUCCACCAGCCAUAUAUGCAUGUAGUGAUAGCAUUUAUUCUGUUCAUUACCCUAUGUGUUACAUUGCCAGCAUAUUCCAUGUGCUGACCUGUUUCGGGCUGCAAUGUUUCAUGUUGCAGACUUUUCAGAUGACGAGUAAGGUGCCAUAGGUCAUUGUCUUUCACUCAGUGAUGUCGUUGGAGUUGAUGGACUCACUUUAUCUUCCAAGCCUUCCGCUAUUAUCGUUAUUAGAUGGCCUUAAGCCAUAUUAUUAUAAUAAGUUCUCUUUUGACAUUCGAUGUAAUAAGUAUGUGAUUGAACCUCUGUUAUAAAUCCUUGAGUACUAUGUGUGUCAGCAUUACCGAUCCAGGGAUGAGACUAAUGCACAAAGACCAGACUGUUUGAGGUCUGGUCGCUACAGUGGUGCUCUCUAACCGGUGCUUUUUAUAAGAGGAUGAUGACUCAACAAUAAAAGUAAAUAUAUAGGCCCUUCACAGAGUGAAGCAGGUGUGACAGCCUGGAUUUGUCUUCUCUCUUUUUUCGGACUUUCUUUUGCCUUUGCUUUGGAUUUGGAGUUUGGAAUCAAUUCAAUGGACUUGAGUACUUGGGCCUACCCUUGAUUUUUACCAAAGUGACCCAUCCACCCCUAACUCAACUUUCUUUCUCCGAAAAAUUCCCAAAAAUGACCCAAGGAAUAUUUUUCAUAAAAGAAAAAUAUUCAUUUUCUUCUCUGAAAAUCACUUCACAGAAGUAUGCUCCAAAGCAACCCUCAUUUUUAUUGCUCCUAAAAUCCUAAGAAAAUUCACAAAUAUUAUUUCAACCCUAGGGAACCUCCCUGAGCAAAAAUAUUGCAUAACUUUUUGGAAUAUUUUUGCUACAAAAACCAUUUCUGUUCUGGACAGAAUAGCCACUUUACACAGCAAGUAUGUUUUUCCUUGAUCCAAUGUGGGGUCGAUCCUUUCUGAGCUUCAUUACCUUCCUAAGAGAAUGCUAAACCCCAAAGCCCAGCCCUUAACUCUUACUGAAUCACUCUCAGUUAACCUCACAAGUUACUGUCUAGAAACUUACCAGGAAGUAAACCACACACUCACAGCUCCUGGGUUCAACUCAAAUCGUUGGAACCACUAAAACCACUAAGGACUACAUGCCAGACAUGAAGUUUGCGCUUAGCACGGCCUGAUGUCAUAGUUCACGUGGUGACCGCGUUUGUCCAGGGGUGCUGGCAUGCAGCCGGCAUGCUCUGCGACACACCCGCGCUUCUGUUGAGCGCGUGCUCGCUUCCCCGACCACCAGACCUUGCCAAACCUCACCACCAUCCUCGUAUCCACCCCCUUAACUCUGCCCUAGCACUCACCGAUGCCGGAGCUUGCCGCAGCGAGCACGGGCAUGAUGCAGCCAAGCCAACAGUGCGCUCGUGCGACUAUGCUCGUUGCGUUCCUGGCUCCUGUGCUCCUCUCCGCCCUCCCACAGUGCCCGCGUGAGCUGCGUCGCCUUUUUCCUCUCUCGCUGACGUCGUUCGUCAUCGAGCGCCAUGUCCGGAAGCUUCACGGCGGAUCCUGAUCCCCUCCUCUCUCUUGACUAUAUAUAUGGCCCCCUCCCGACUCCUUGAGCAUCACCACACACACCCACAGCCUCCACGAGCUCAUAGAAUAACCAUAGCCCGGUCGGGCAGGCCUUUGGCCGCCGCCCCGACCCAAGCUCACCGGCGAUUCCCCGUAGCCCCUCCACCUCACUCCACUACCUCCCGAGCUCCACCCACUCCUCUGGCGGCUUGCUGGUGGUUCGCUGGUGCCGUCCAAUCACGUUGCAGCCGCUGGUGAAGCCCCACGACGCCGUCAUCAUCAACUCCGGCGACCUCUGUUUUCUGCCGCUGCUGGAGAGCUCCGUUCUGACCCCGUUCGGCCACCCCUAGCCAUGCUACGGGUAUGGGCAGGUGCGCCUCGACCUCCUCUAUCUCCCUAUCCCUUCAGAUCUAGCCAUCAGGCACUCCUCAUUGGAGAACACGCCGCCGACGUGCCGCCCGCCUCUGUUUCUCUUUCCCCCUCCCUUUGACUUGACCAGUGGGGCCCUCUGUCAGCCUCUCAGCCACACGCGAAGGGGUAUGAGUGGUGGCGCAUUUCAGAAGUGCGCCAUUGAUGUCACCCCCUGGUUUUCUUUUAUUUCAAAUUUAGAUCAAAUUUUUACAAGAACUUUCACUAGCUAUAACUCCUAACCACAGGUCCAAAUGAGUUGAUUCUUUUUGCAUUGUGUUCUUACUGGAAAGCUCUAGCAGCACAGCCAAGAUGAGAUUUUUCUCUGCUGCCUAGGUUUUCUGGUAAUUUUCAGAAGUGUUCUUGAUGUUUUCUUUUUGUCAUUUUAUUUAUCUUCAAAAGGAGAAGCUUGUCGUGAAGAUAUCCAGGAGGAGUGUGAAGCUCCUCUUAACUAAGGCAAGCCACACAAACAUUUUCAUGGUGUCUUUGCAAUAUCCAUGAUAUUUCCAACUUGAAUAUAUGAUAUUUCUUGCAUAUAGUUAUUAAAUGAAUAAUACUUGUGUUAGUUAUUUUGUCAUGAGCAAGAUGCUUAGUUUACAGAAGUGAGUGCUUGAACUAGUGAGAUCUAGCAUGAGUAGUUAACUACGUGAUUUUGUUAUGACUAUGGUAUGAUGAGCAUCGGUAUUAUUUUCAUAUAUGCAUGAUGAGUUUCAUAUAGUAAAUGGUAAACUAGAAAUGAUGAGUGCAAAUAACCAGUAAGAAAGACUCAGCAAAGUUUAGUGAUGAUUUGUGCAAGUAGAAAUUUUGAUGAGGUUGACCUGUUAUUUUCAAGUGAUAUGAAAUGCAUGUCAUAUGGUUGCAUGAGCAUGGCAUAUGGUGACUCGAGCAUUUUAUUUCAAGUUAAACCUGAUGUUAAUUGAACUAGAACAUAAAGUUGAUCGGUUCAUGGUGCCACUGAAUCGGGCUGACCAGUGCAACCACAUUUGCCUUUUAUGGGAAGGCCGUUACUCGGUUCGUUGUCAUGCCUCUUGUCGGUGCCUCCAACGAGGGAAGGUUAUGGGCGUGCGUUACCCAGGCCCGGUAAGCAGACAUAACCUUGUGUGCCCGUUGUUGUUGAGAUGGUACCUUGUCCCUGUUUGGGACCGUUUUGUUUUGCCACGACGGUGACCGUGAUGCCUUUGGUAGGCACGGGGCCACCCAUGACUUAGCCCAGUGGGGAGUUAGUCGGAGUGGCCGAGAGAGUGUCAUGGCAAUGGGAGAGUUCUGUCAGAAUGCCAUUGGUCCACCCGAAUGGGAGUGCGAGGCCAUGGGUUCCGUGGUGUGGGUAUAGUGCGCUACCUCUGCAGAGUGUAUUAAAUCUAUCAAUAGCCGCGCCCGUGGAUAAGGGCCCAGUUCAUAAGUAAGUCACACCAUGGAUCAACUUUUACAAAGUAAUCUUGCACACUAAGUUAUUUGCAUAGCACUGGUUAAAUCAUGAUGAUGUCAGUGAGACUCGCCGUUGUGGUUUCUUUUGUGAUCCGUGAAUGAUCACCGUUUGGUUAUAAGGUAACCCGUUGAACCGAGUGUGGUUCUGUUUGUGAUCCAUGAAUGAUCACCGCUUGGUUGCGAGGCAACCCGUUGGUAAGAGAGUCUGAGGGACUCGGUGCACAAGUUUGGAUGAAUGGCAUGAGAAGCAUGUUGUUAUUUGCAUUUAACUUGAUUAAAUGUCAUGAUAUUGUUUGUCAUUAUGUUUAUGCUUGUUGUGAGCUUGCAAGUACAUUCAAUUUACUAACCUGGCAUGUUAUGCCAGAUUUCAGGAAAGUCUAACUGGAUCGGAGUGCUGUUGUGUCUAGAUCGUGUCCACACCAGUGUCCCUAUGAUAUGGAGUCCCGCUUCCUCGUUGUUCCGCUGCCGCGUAGUUGUCGUGAUCGAGGCCCCUUUAAGUUCACUAAAUAAUGUACAUAUUGUUCAACCGCAUCGAGUGUGCCGCUUGGCCUCGCUACUUGAUGUAAUAUCACACUAUGCUUCCUCUAGUAUCAAUAAAGCGGUUGUUUUCUAUACCAAGAUGUUGUGCAUUGCUAGAAGACUUGAUCUCUGGGUUGGCAAUGCAAGGUAAACCGGUUGCUCUGAGCCGAGGUGGCACAUCACGAUUUGCAGAGGUGCUAGAGCUCGAAGCUUUUAAAACAGAGAUAAAUAUAAUUUUGAGUGGCAUGCUUUCAUUGUCAACAUGACAACCAAGAUAUCUCACUAUCUUCCAUGCUAGAUACAUUAUAGGCGGUUCCCAAACAUAAUGGUAAAGUUUUUACUCCCCCUCCACCAACAAUCACACUCCACGGUUAGACGAAUACACGGGUGCCGUCCAUACCAACAACAGUCCUGGGGUAGUUUUGUUUUAUGAUUAUAUUUUGAUUUUAUUUUGAGCAUGGAACUAGGCAACCCGAUUACCAGCCACUCUCUCGUGAAUGGCAAGUGAAUAAACACUCAUUGUUAGAAUAAUCCACCUAGCAUUGAAGAUACUACCAGCCGCAGUCGCUACAUGAGUGAUCCGGGCAUACAAAACUGGUUAUUAUUUGAAGGUUUAGAGUUUGGCACAUGGAAAUUUACUUGGAACAGCAGGUAAAUACCGCAUAUAGGUAGGUAUGGUCGAUUCAUAUGGAACAACUUUCGGUUUAAGGAAGUGGAUGCACAAGCAUUAUUCCCUCUUAGUACAAGUGAAGGCUAGCAAAAGAUUGAGGAGCGGCCAACUAGAGAAUGACAACGGUCAUAAAAUGCAUUGAGAUUAAUCAACAUUGAGUGCAAGUAUGAGUAGGAUAUAUAUCACCAUGAACAUAAAUAUCAUGGAGACUAUGUUGUUUUUGAUUCAGCUACAUGUGUGAGCAUGUGCCAAGUCAAGCCACUUAAAUCAUUCAAAGGAGGAUACCAUCCUAUCGUACUACAUCACAACCAUUUUAAAAUACAUGUUGGCACACAAGACAGACCAUUAUCCACUCCUAUCUAAUUAAGCAUGGCAUGAGUAACUAUAAUCUCUAAUUGUCAUUGCAAACACACUUCAUUCAUAAUAGGCUGAAUCAGGAACGAUGAGCUAAUCAUAUUUACAUAAACAAAAUAGGUUGAGUCCAUACCAGAUUUUCUCCAUCUCAAUUAUUUCAUCAAACAUUGUCAUUGUUGCCUUUCACUUGCACGAUCGAACAGUGUGACUAAUAAUAAGAGUGCACGUGCAUUGGAAUAAGCUAGAAUCUGCAAACAUUUAUUCAAAGGAUAAGACAAGGUAAUAUGGGCUCUUUGUUAGAACAACAAUAAUGCAUAUGAGAGCCACUCAAAAUUUUCAUCGUGGUCUUCUCCUUACGACCCAAAGAAAGGAAAAUAAUUUCAAAGAAACAGACUGAAAUAUUUUUGGAGUUUUUGUUUUUCUGAAGAAAGUAAAACGAAGAUGAGAAAAACUAUUUACACAAGAAAGCUCCCAACAAGAAAAAUAAGAAUGAGAAAUCUUUUGGGGUUUUCUUUUAAUACUACAACUACUAAACUAGAAAGAAAAACUAAAAAGAAGAACUAUUUUUUUUAUUUUCUCAAAGUUUUUCAAACACACAAGAAGAAAGCAAGAAGAAUAAACUAACAUGGAUAAUACAAAGAAAAAGUAUGAACACCGACACCUGAAAUGAGUAUGAACAUCAAUGUAUUGUUGGUGAGACAUACAUACUCCCCCAAGCUUAGGCUUUUGGCCUAAAUUGGUCUAGGGCCACGGCUCGAAAUAAUCCUCUCCUCGAUACUCCGGAGGGUCCUGGGGGUUCCACUGGUUGGCGAGCUCCUGUGGUUCCCGCUGAUAAAUAGGUUCAUGAUACGGAUCAGGUGAUAUGGCUAGCUCAGGGACUGGGGAUCGCAUCCGCUCCCAGUAUGCUUAAAUGUACUCGGGCAUAAUAAUGUACCUGCCUGAAUGAAUAUCGAACAAAGAAGGUGCAGACAAAGUAAUAAUCUGACAAGUAUGCUGACUGAAUACUAGGUUAUAGAUGAGCCGCUUGUCAUCAUCCUUGGCAAUACAAUCAUGUGCUGCCAUACUAGCAUAGUUCAAAUAUUUAGUGGGUAAUAACAUCUCCUCCUCAUCAUCAUGCCUAAUGGGUAUCUCAAAAUGUCUAGCAAGGUGGGAAGCAUAGACACCUCCAAAAACAGGACCUUUCGAGUGAUUUCUGUUUAUCUGUCGAGCAACCAUGGCACCCAAACUAAAAAGUUCUAUCAGAAUAUAAAGCAUGGCGCAAAAUAGCAAGGUUAGGGGCACUAAGGCCUCCACUCUCCCCACGACCAAUCAAACAUCUCCCAGAAAAUAAUGAAUAAUAGCAUAAAACAUGAAAAAUGUAAACUAGCCACUCUCGCCUCUGACACCCCUCUCUCUUCCCCCACAGUAGUUUCAGAAAUAAAGUCCUCAAUGUCUCUAGGACGUGGCUCACUGACGCUUCCCUCAUAAGGUAUUUUAAACAUCGCAAAAAUCAUAGAGUUUCAUUCUCUUAAGCACAUCAUACAAGUGAAAUUCUACCAUGAGAGGAUCCUACCUAGAAUGAAAGUGAAAAUUUUGCACGAAGGUAUUAGUGAGUAGGAGGUAUUGGUCACAAUUAUCUUGGAGGAAGGCGGUGAUGCCGACAUUCUCCGCCAAAUGAUAGAAAUCAUCAUAAAUAUUGGCCUCUCUCAAGAAUAUGCCACUUGGCCACUCACACAGCCUAACCUCCGCAGAGCGAGGAAGGUUGUACUUGGGCUUCUUCUUCUCCUCAUUUUCAUUUCCCUCUGAAUUCCGGCUUGAAGAACCCCUUAACCACCUUUUCAUGGUUUCUCUUUCCUCUGAAAAUUUCUAAACUUUUUAGUGACUCAAAAUAAAAGUGAACAAAACUCAACAAAACUAAUAGCAACUACUCCCACAAGUGCCUAGAGGCUAUAUCAUGCCACAAAACUACUUUUGACCAUAUAAAUUUGACAUGCAAGAUCAAGAACAAUGUCACCACAAUAGCAAAAAUUUGCAAUAAAUAAAGCACUAGAACAAAAACUAAUUGGACCAACGGAGGAUUCACAUUCCGAAGAACAAUCCCCCAAAACAGUUUCGGAAAUGAAGUUCCAAGCAAGGAGAUCGAAAAUGGCAACAAAAUGAGCAAGAACACAGGUUUGAGCAAUGGUGGGAUUUUUUCUGGAGGAAGACGAAGUGGAUGGGUGCUGGAAUAAGUGAGGGGGACCCACAUGGGACCCACAAGCCAUGUAGGUGCGCCUAGGGGGGUGGGGGCGCCCUGUGGGCUUGUGGUCCACUGGUGCACCUCCCUGAGAUGUUUUCGGUGCCAAAAAUUCUUAAAUAUUACAUAAAAAUCAUACUAAAUUUUAAGGGCUUUUGGAGAACUUUUAUUUUCUAGUCUUUUUUUAUUGCACAGAUAGUUCAGAAAAUUGAGAGAUAACAAUAUUUUUGCUUUAUUUAUUCUAAAUAACAGAAAGUAAAAAGUGAGUACAGAGAGUUGUGUUUACUAAAUUCAUCCAUCUCAUGCCCAUCAAAAAGAAUCCAUUAACAAGGUUGAUCAAGCUCUAUAUUUACUGAAUUCAUCCAUCUCAUGCCCAUCAAAAGGAAUCCAUUAACAAGGUUGAUCAAGUCUUGUUAAUAUACUUCUUUCGAAUGACAUGAAACCGGAGAAUCUUUGUAUAACACUAGGUUACCUCAAUGGGGAUAUGCAUGUCCCCAACAAUAAGAAUAUCAUAUUUCUUUCUGACGGUAGGGAGAGGGAAUUCGAAACCUCCAAUAGUAAUUGUUGAAAAUUUUCCAAUAGAAUUGAUACUAUUCACUUGAGGUUGUUUCCUCGGAAAGUGUACCGUAUGCUCAUUACCAUUAACAUGAAAAGUGACAUUGCCCUUGUUGCAAUCAAUAACAGCCCCUGCAGUAUUCAAGAAGGGUCUACCAAGGAUGAUCGACAUACUGUCAUCCUCGGGUAUAUCAAGAAUAACAAAGUCCGUUAAUAUAGUAACAUUUGCAACUACGGCAUGCACAUCCUCACAAAUACCGAUGGGUAUAGUAGUAGAUUUAUCAGCCAUUUGUGAAGAGAUUUCAAUUGGUGUCAACUUAUUCAAAUCAAGUCUACGUUAUAAAGAGAAAGGCAUAACACUAACACUGGCUCCCAAAUCACAUAAAGCAGUUUUAACAUAGUUUCUUUUAAUGGAGCAUGGUAUAGUUGGUAUUCCUGGAUCUCCUAGUUUCUUUGGUAUUCCACCUUUAAAUGUGUAAUUAGCAAGCAUGGUGGAAAUUUUAGCUUCUGGUAUCUUUCUUUUAUUUGUAACAAUAUCUUUCAUGUACUUAUCAUAAGGAGACAUUUUCAGAAUAUUAGUCAAACGCAGACGCAAAAAGACAGGUCUAAGCAUUUCACAAAGCGCUCAAAGUCCACACCAUCCUUUUUCUUGGAUGGUUUAGGAGUAAAGGGCAUUGGUUUCUGAACCCAUGGUUCUCUUUCUUUUCCAUGUUUUCUAGCAAUGAAGUCUCUCUUAUCAUAUCUUUUAUUUUUAGGUUGUGGGUUAUCAAGAUCAACAUUAGGUUCUAUCUCCACAUCAUUAUCAUUGCUAGGUUGAGCAUCAACAUGAACAUCAUCUUCAUCACCUGAUUGUGUCUCAGCAUCAGAAAUAUAAAUGUCAUUUAGAUUCUCAGGUGUUUCUAUAACAGGUUCACUGGAAGCAUGCAAAGUCGUAUCAUCUUUCUUUUUAUUUCUAAAGGGACUAGGUGCAUCAGUAUUAAUUUUCUGAGGGACUUGUUCUACUCUCUUAGGAUGGCCCUGAGGAUACAAAGAAUCCUGAGUCAUUUUACCACCUCUAGUCAUAACUCUAACAACAUGAUCAUUAUUUUUAUCAUUCAUCUCAUUUAGCAAAUCAUUUUGUGCAUUGAGAACUUGUUCUACUUGAGUUUUUUUUACCAUGGAAGCAUGUUUACUCAUAAUCUUGAGAUCAUUAAUAGUUCUACACAUAUAGUCACCCAAGCAGUCAAGCAUAUAAGCAUUACGUUUCAAUUGUCUACUAACAUAUGCAUUGAAGUUUUCUUGAUUAACAAUAAAGUUAUCAAACUCAUCCAAGCAUUAACUAGCAGACUUAUUAUAAGGAAUGUCACAUUCAUCAAAUCUAUAGAGAGAAUUUACCUCUGUUACCUGUGUCAGGUUAUCAAGACCAUGUAUUUCUUCAAUAGGUGGUAAAUUCUUAACAUUUUCACCUUUAAUACCUUUUUCUUUCAUAGAUUUCUUUGCCUCUUGCAUAUCUUCAGGACUGAGAAAUAGAAUACCUUUCUUCUUCGGAGUUGGCUUAGGUGGUGGUUUGGGAAGAGUCCAAUAAUUAUCAUUACUCGAUAUAUUAUUCAAUAGUACUUCAGCUUGUUCAACAGUUCCUUCCCUGAAAACACAACCAGUACAAUGAUGUCUACUACACAACCUUCUUCUUGUAGAUGUUGUUGGGCCUGCAAGUGCACAGGUUUGUAGGACAGUAGCAAAUUUCCCUCAAGUGGAUGACCAAAGGUUUAUCAAUCCGUAGGAGGCGUAGGAUGAAGAUGGUCUCUCUUAAACAACCCUACAACCAAAUAACAAAGAGUCUCUUGUGUCCCCAACACACCCAAUACAAUGGUAAAUUGUAUAGGUGUACUAGUUCGGCGAAGAGAUGGUGAGACAAAUGCAAUAUAGAUAGUAGAUAUAGGUUUUUGUAAUCUGAAAUAAUAAAAACAACAAGGUAACUAAUGAUAAAAGUGAGCACAAACGGUAUUGCAAUGAUAGGAAACAAGGCCUAGGGUUCAUACUUUCACUAGUGCAAGUUCUCUCAACAAUAAUAACAUAGAUAGAUCAUAUAACAAGCCCUCAACAUGCAACAAAGAGUCACUCCAAAGCCACUAAUAGCGGAGAACAAACGUAGAGAUUAUGGUAGGGUAUGAAACCACCUCAAAGUUAUUCUUUCGAAUCAAUCUAUUAAAGAGUUCGUACUAGAAUAACACCUUCAGACACAAAUCAACCAAAACCCUAAUGUCACCUAGAUACUCCAUUGUCAUCUCAAGUAUCCAUGGGCAUGAUUAUAUGAUAUGCAUCACACAAUCUCAGAUUCAUCCAACCAACACAAAGUACUUCAAAGAGUGCCCCAAAGCUUCUACCGGAGAGUCAAGAAAACGUGUGCCAACCCCUAUGCAUAGGUUCAUGGGCGGAACCCGCAAGUUGGUCACCAAAAACAUACAUCAAGUGGCACGUGAUAUCCCAUUGUCACCACAGAUAAACACAGCAAGACAUACAUCAAGUGUUCGAGGGGUCCAUGAGACAGGGGGCCACGCCCUGUAGGGGGGCGCCCCCCUAUCUCCUGGGCUCCUCGAGUAUCUUCUGACUUGAUCUCCAAGCCUCCAGGAUGAUAUUCUUCCAAAAAAUCACGAUGCUGAAGGUUUCAUUCCGUUUGGACUCCGUUUGAUAUUCCUUUUCUUCGAAAUACUGAAACAGGCAAUAAAACAGCAAUAUGGGCUGGGCCUCCGGUUAAUAGGUUAUUCCCAAAAGUAAUAUAAAAGUGAAUAAUAAAGCCCGUAAUCAUUCAAAACACAUAAUAAUAUAGCAUGAAUGCUUCAUAAAUUAUAGAUACAUUGGAGACGUAUCAGCAUCCCCAAGCUUAAUUCCUACUCGUCCUCGAGUAGGUAAAUGAUAAAAGAAAGAAUUUAUGAAAUGUGAAUGCUAGAAGGUGCACAAGUUUGAUCAAUGAUAAUUUCAAUCACCUUUUCUAGCAUGAUAAUAUGUCAUAAUAGUAGUUCAUAUCAUAAAACUUCUCACGAUAAAGUAACAAGCAAUUCACAUGUCAAAGCAUAGACCAUAAACUUUCUUGAAAACUAGCAAACUCCAUUCUUAGUCAUUUAAACAAUUGCAAUUCAUCCUAUUUUCAGGAAGGGUCUAUGUCAGAGCUUUGAUUUAGCAAACUUCACAUACUCAACUAUCAUAUAGUCUUCUACAAUUGCUAACACUCACGCAAUACUUGUGGUCAUGAAGUUUUAAUCAGACACAGAGAAAGGUUGGGGCUUAUAAUGUUGCCUCCAAACGUAUUCACCUUUGGGUGAUGUCAACAAUAAUAGUUCAUGCUAACUUACAUCCAAUUGGAUAUAUAUAUAUAUAUAUAUAUCGGGAUCACCCCAACAUAAGUGCUUGCCAAAGGAUAAAAUGAAAAAGGGAAAGGUGAAGAUCACCUUGACUCUUGCAUAAAGUAAAAGACAUAAAGUAAAAUAUAGGCCCUUCGCAGAGGGAAGCAGAGGUUUUCAUGCGCUUUUAGGGUUGGAUACACAAAAUCUUAAUGCGAAAGAACGUCACUUUAUAUUGCCCCUUGUAUAUGGACCUUUAUUAUGCAGUCCGUCGCUUUUAUUACUUCCAUAACAAGAUCGUACAAAGCUUAUUUUCUCCGCACUAAUAAUUCAUGCAUAAUUAGAGAGCAAUUUUUAUUGCUUGCACCGAUGACAACUUACUUGAAGGAUCUUACUCAAUCCAUAGGUAGGUAUGGUGGACUCUCAUGGAAAAACUGGGUUUAAGGAUAUCCGGAAGCACAAGUAGUAUUUCUACUUGGUGCAAGCAAUUUUGGCUAGCAUGAGGGGGAAAGGCAAGCUCAACAUGUUUGAAUGAUCCAUGACAAUAUACUUUAACUGAGAUGUCGGAAAACAUAAACCAUUACGUUGUCUUCCUUGUCCAACAUCAACUCUUUAGCAUGUCAUACUUAAUGAGUGCUCCCAAUUAUAAAAGAUGUCUAGGAUAGUGUAUUUAUAUGUGAAAUCUCUCUUCCUUAAAUAUUCUCUCAUGAAUUGUUCAAAUGACCAAUACAACGCUUGCUAACCUUCAAUAAAUUUACAACCUCUACUUCUUAGAUGUGAAGUCAUAACUCCCCAUGGGAUAAGCAAAUGAGACAUAUAUAAUUUCAGAUUUAUGACAAUCAACUUAUUCAACAAUUUACUCAUAGGAUAAAAGUGAAGCACACGAGUAAAUGAAAAACUACUCCAAAAAGAUAUAAGCGAAGAUCAAUGAGUAGCUAAAUAAUUAAGUAGCUAUGCGAAGACUCUCUCUCAUUAAAGAAUUUCAGAUCUUGGUAUUGUAUUCAAACAGAAAGCAAAACAAAAUAAAAUGACAUUGCAAGGAUAGCACAACUCAUGUGAAGAAGCAAAAACUUAGGCUUAACCGAUACUAACCGAUAGUUGUUGAAGAAGAAAGGUGGGAUGCCUACCGGGGCAUCCCCAAGCUUAGAUGCUUGAGACUUCUUGAAAUAUUAUCUUGGGGUGCCUUGGGCAUCCCCAAGCUUGAACUUUUGUGUCUCCUUAAUUCCUCUCCUAUCAUGAUUUCUCUAUUUCUCAAAAGCUUCAUCCACAACAAACUCAACAAGAACACGUGAGAUAGGUUAGUAUAAACCAAUGCAAAACCUUAUCAUUUUCUACUGUAACAAAUCACUAAAAUUAUUAUUCAACAUUGCAUACUAAAUGCCUCUGCAUAUUUAAUACUCCUAUCCUCAAAUAGAAUCAUUAAACAAGCAAACAAAUGCAAACAAUGCAAACAUAACAGCAAUCUGCCAAAACAGUACAGUCUGUAAAGAAUGCAAGAGUAUCAAUACUUCCCUAAAUCCAAAAAUUAUGAAAUAAAAUUCCCACUUAAGUAAAUUUAUCAGAUCUCAUUAUUCAAAAAGUUUGAACAUUAUAUCAUUCUCUUACUUUUCAAGGGAAUUUUUGCAACAGCGGUAAACUUUCUGUUUUCAAACAGCAACAUGUAUACUAGCAAAAUAAGCAUGGCAAAGGCUAUCCUUGACAUUUUUAUUGAAACUAAAGAUUCAAAACAUUAUUCUAUAUAACAGAAAGUAAAUACUAACAAAAUAAAAUGACGCUCCAAGCAAAACACAUAUCAUGUGGUGAAUAAAAAUAUAGCUCCAAGUAAAGUUACCGAUGAACAAAGACGAAAGAGAGGAUGCCUUCCGGGGCAUCCCCAAGAUUAGGCUCUUGGUUGUCCUUGAAUAUUACCUUGGGGUGCCUUUGGCAUCCCCAAUCUUAGGCUCUUGCCACUCCUUAUUCCAUAGUCCAUCAAAUCUUUACCCAAAACUUGAAAACUCAAUAGAAAACUCGUAAGCUCCGUUAGUAUAAGAAAAUAAAACAACCACUUAGGUACUGUAAUGAACUCAUUCUAAAUUCAUAUUGGUGUAAUAUAUACUGUAGUCCAACUUAUCUAUGGUUCAUACCCUCCAAUACUACUCAUAGAUUCAUCAAAAUAAGCAAACAACACAUAGAAAACAGAAUCUGUCAAAAACAGAACAGUCUGUAGUAAUCUGUAUCAAACGUAUACUUCUGGAACUCCAAAAAUCCUACCAAAUUAGGAAGUCCUAAGAAAUUUGUGUACCAAUCCAUAGAAAAAAUAACCAGAUCAGAAGAACGUUUCUUUGAAUUAACAAAACUAAUUUACUGGGUGCAAAAGUUUCUGAUUCUCAGCAGGAUCAACACAACUAUCACCGUAAGCUAUCCUAAAGGUCUUACUUGGCACUUUAUUGAAACAAAAACUAUAAAACAUGAUUACUACAGUAGCAUAAUCAUGUGGACACACAAAAACAGUAGGGAUAAAUAUUGGUUUAUCUCCCAACAAGCGCUUUUCUUUAAUGCCUUUCUAGCUAGGCAUGAUGAUGACAAUGAUGCUCACAUAAAAGAUAAGAAUUGAAACAUAACGGGAGCAUCGUGAAGCAUAUGACUAGCACAUUUAAGUCUAAACCACUUCCUAUGCAUAGGGAUUUUGUGAGCAAACAACUUAUGGGAACAAUGAUCAACUAGCAUAGGAAGGUAAAACAAGCAUAAGUUCAAAAACUGAAGCACAUAGAGAGGAAACUUGACAUUAUUGCAACUCCUACAAGCAUAUGUUCCUCCCUCAUAAUAAUUUUCAGUAGAAUCAUGAAUGAAUUCAACAAUAUAACCAGCACCUAAAGCAUUCUUUUCAUGAUCUACAAGCAUAAAAUUUUUACUACUCUCCACAUAAGCAAAAUUCUUCUCAUUCGGAAUAGUGGGAGUAUCAUAAAAGACUUGAACACUAAAAAUUGUUUCCACAUUAAAAGAGUAAUGUUCAGAAAAAGGGUGAUCAUAAUCAUGACAAGAUUUAUAAAUAUAAUCAUCACUACUUUUUAUAGCAUAAGUUUCAUCACAAUAAUCAUCAUAAGUAGUAACUUCGUUCUCAUCAUAAUCGAUUGAAACCUCUCCCAAGAUAGUGGAAUCACUAAAUAAAGUUGACACUCUUCCAAAUCCACUUUCAUAUUCAUCACAAUAAAAUUCAACAUCCUCCAAAUAGUGGGAUCACUACUUCCUAAAGUUUACACUCUUCCGAACCCACUUUCAUCAAUAUAAUCAUCAUAGGUAGGAGUCAUGCUAUCAUCAUAACAACUUUGCAUAUCAAAACUUGGGAUGCUAAAAAUAUCAUCUUCACUAAACGUAGCAUCCCCAAGCUUGGGACAAACAUUAAUUUCAGCAAACAUAUUCUCAAAUAUUUCAUCCUCAUCAAACAUAGCUUCCCCAAGCUUGGGCCCUUUCAUAUCAUAAGCAUAAUCACUCUCAUCAUUAAAAAUAUUCAUAGCACCAAUAGUAUAGCAAUUAUCAUCAUCACAAUGAGUAGUAGGAGCAACAUCAUUUGGGAGGGAUACCUUUCUACCUUUGUUGUUCCUUCUUUUCUUUUUCUUCUUCACAUUAUGUGUGGGUUUAACCUUCCUCUUUGAGCUCCUUAUUGAUGAGAUUGGUUGAAUAGCAAGCUCCUCCUCGUCACCUGAUUCAUCAUAAGAAAUAAUAGGAGGAUAGUGGGAAGUCUCUUACCUUUCAUUAGUAUUCUCUUCAUCUUCUAUUUGCUUUCUUUUCUUUAUGUAAUUGGCAAUAUAAGGAUUUUCAAUGCAAUUCUCCAUACAAUACAAAUAAAUAUCCUCUAGAUCAAAAUCAAGAAAUCUAUCAAUAUUAAAUUUUGGAAUAUCCUCGGUUAUACGUUUCAUUUCUU